RNAcentral lists this non-coding RNA (104 nucleotides) under Clostridium sp. RNAcentral describes it as "TPP sequence". It matches the Rfam family "TPP riboswitch aptamer (THI element)". From Rfam's summary of the family: Vitamin B(1) in its active form thiamin pyrophosphate (TPP) is an essential coenzyme that is synthesised by coupling of pyrimidine and thiazole moieties in bacteria. Lineage: Bacteria; Bacillati; Bacillota; Clostridia; Eubacteriales; Clostridiaceae. RNAcentral also lists the same sequence under 1 other name. The record is from RNAcentral.
GGUUUAUGCUAGGGGUGCCAUGAGCUGAGAAAUGGUUAUUGAAACCAUUAACCCUCAUACCUGAUCUGGUUAGUACCAGCGUAGGGAAGCAAGAUAUGAACUUU